This 84-nucleotide transfer RNA is filed under the name Schistocephalus solidus. It matches the Rfam family "tRNA". Rfam says of the family: Transfer RNA (tRNA) molecules are approximately 80 nucleotides in length. Their secondary structure includes four short double-helical elements and three loops (D, anti-codon, and T loops). Further hydrogen bonds mediate the characteristic L-shaped molecular structure. tRNAs have two regions of fundamental functional importance: the anti-codon, which is responsible for specific mRNA codon recognition, and the 3' end, to which the tRNAs corresponding amino acid is attached (by aminoacyl-tRNA synthetases). tRNAs cope with the degeneracy of the genetic code in two manners: having more than one tRNA (with a specific anti-codon) for a particular amino acid; and 'wobble' base-pairing, i.e. permitting non-standard base-pairing at the 3rd anti-codon position. The record is from Rfam by way of RNAcentral. Lineage: Eukaryota; Metazoa; Platyhelminthes; Cestoda; Diphyllobothriidea; Diphyllobothriidae.
GGCCUCGUAGCUCAGUUGGUUAGAGCGUUGGCUGUACUAAAAGCCUUGCUCUUGCUGGCGUGGGUUCAAAUCCCACCGAGGCCG